AUUGGGGUGGCAGAGCAUGGUAAGUGCAAAAGACCUAAGCCCUUUCAACCGAGGGUUCAAAUCCCUCCCCCAACU
RNAcentral lists this transfer RNA (75 nucleotides) under Garra poecilura. RNAcentral describes it as "tRNA-Leu". It matches the Rfam family "tRNA". Rfam says of the family: Transfer RNA (tRNA) molecules are approximately 80 nucleotides in length. Their secondary structure includes four short double-helical elements and three loops (D, anti-codon, and T loops). Further hydrogen bonds mediate the characteristic L-shaped molecular structure. tRNAs have two regions of fundamental functional importance: the anti-codon, which is responsible for specific mRNA codon recognition, and the 3' end, to which the tRNAs corresponding amino acid is attached (by aminoacyl-tRNA synthetases). tRNAs cope with the degeneracy of the genetic code in two manners: having more than one tRNA (with a specific anti-codon) for a particular amino acid; and 'wobble' base-pairing, i.e. permitting non-standard base-pairing at the 3rd anti-codon position. Lineage: Eukaryota; Metazoa; Chordata; Actinopteri; Cypriniformes; Cyprinidae. The record is from RNAcentral.